AUACGGAGGAUCCGAGCGUUAUCCGGAUUUAUUGGGUUUAAAGGGAGCGUAGGUGGAUUGUUAAGUCAGUUGUGAAAGUUUGCGGCUCAACCGUAAAAUUGCAGUUGAAACUGGCAGUCUUGAGUACAGUAGAGGUGGGCGGAAUUCGUGGUGUAGCGGUGAAAUGCUUAGAUAUCACGAAGAACUCCGAUUGCGAAGGCAGCUCACUAGACUGUUACUGACACUGAUGCUCGAAAGUGUGGGUAUCAAACAGUAUUAGAUACCCUGGUAGUCCACACAGUAAACGAUGAAUACUCGCUGUUUGCGAUAUACAGUAAGCGGCCAAGCGAAAGCAUUAAGUAUUCCACCUGGGGAGUACGCCGGCAACGGUGAAACUCAAAGGAAUUGACGGGG
This 393-nucleotide ribosomal RNA is filed under the name uncultured bacterium. RNAcentral describes it as "partial 16S ribosomal RNA". It matches the Rfam family "Bacterial small subunit ribosomal RNA", at positions 523 to 918 of the family's 1533-position model. The record is from RNAcentral.